CCCAGCACCAGGAUUCCCAGGUAUUCCAAUCAGUACUCAGGACAGGACACAGACAACUCACUAUGAAGUUUGUGCUUGGCUGGGUUUUUCUUGUUGCUCUUUUAAAAGGUGUUCAGGGUGAGGUGCAGCUGGUGGAUUCUGGGGGAGACCUGGUGAAGCCUGGGGGAGGGGUGUCCCUGAGACUCUUCUGUGCAGCCUCUGGAUUCAACUUCAGCAGCUACAACAUGGACUGGGUCCGCCAGGCUCCAGGGAAGGGGCUGCAGUGGGUCUCAUAUAUUAGCAGUGGUGGAAGCACAUACUAUGCGGACUCUGUUAAGGGCCGAUUCACCAUCUCCAGAGACAAUGACAAGAACAAGCUGUAUCUGCAGAUGAACAGCCUGAAAGCCGAGGACAUGGCCCUGUAUUACUGUGCAAGAGACACAUCUUCUCUCUUUUCUUUUGGAUUAGAUUGGCUAGUGGUUUAUUAA
This is a non-coding RNA of Enhydra lutris kenyoni (northern sea otter), 467 nucleotides long. NCBI's taxonomy places the organism in Eukaryota, Metazoa, Chordata, Mammalia, Carnivora, Mustelidae. The record is from the annotation of a RefSeq genome assembly.